Mustela erminea (ermine) is the source of this 95-nucleotide long non-coding RNA. RefSeq lists it as uncharacterized. The transcript is spliced from 3 exons. NCBI's taxonomy places the organism in Eukaryota, Metazoa, Chordata, Mammalia, Carnivora, Mustelidae. The record is from RefSeq and is a predicted model, not a curated record.
UGAUAAAACUUUAGCUAGACUGACCAAGAACAAGAGAAAACUCAAACUGCUAAAAUCAAGUAUGAAAGAAGCUGGGCACCUGGGUGGCUCAGUGG